AACUUUCAACAAUGGAUCUCUUGGUUCUGGCAUCGAUGAAGAACGCAGCGAAAUGCGAUAAGUAGUGUGAAUUGCAGAAUUCAGUGAAUCAUCGAAUCUUUGAACGCACAUUGCGCCCCUCGGUAUUCCGUGGGGCAUGCCUGUUCGAGCGUCAUUU
This 157-nucleotide ribosomal RNA is filed under the name Arthopyreniaceae sp. IBL 03137. Its description in RNAcentral is "5.8S ribosomal RNA". It matches the Rfam family "5.8S ribosomal RNA". From Rfam's summary of the family: 5.8S ribosomal RNA (5.8S rRNA) is a component of the large subunit of the eukaryotic ribosome. It is transcribed by RNA polymerase I as part of the 45S precursor that also contains 18S and 28S rRNA. The record is from RNAcentral. RNAcentral also lists the same sequence under 10 other names. Lineage: Eukaryota; Fungi; Ascomycota; Dothideomycetes; Pleosporales; Arthopyreniaceae.